This 63-nucleotide transfer RNA is filed under the name Marumba gaschkewitschii. RNAcentral describes it as "tRNA-Arg". Lineage: Eukaryota; Metazoa; Arthropoda; Insecta; Lepidoptera; Sphingidae. The record is from RNAcentral.
AAAUAAGAAGCAAAAAUUGCAUUUAAUUUCGACUUAAAAGUAAGAGUAAUUACUCCUUAUUUA